RNAcentral lists this long non-coding RNA (347 nucleotides) under Zalophus californianus (California sea lion). Its description in RNAcentral is "lncRNA (ENSZCAG00015009259.1)". The record is from RNAcentral. Lineage: Eukaryota; Metazoa; Chordata; Mammalia; Carnivora; Otariidae.
UCUCCCUUGCUUCUUCCAGGAGAGAGGGGGUUGAAAGAGCCAACAGGAACUGAGAAGCAUGAUAAACGAAGGAGGAAAAGUAACAAAGAGCUUGAAGACUUUCAUGGCUCCCAGGCCCUGGAUGGAGGCAGGCGGCCCCAGACAGACAGAACCAAGGAGGUGCCUGUGGCUGCAGAGCCCAGACUUGUUUUGGAAAAGAUGGAGAAGAGCCAGUAAACUUGGCUUCCUCGAUUCUGCUCAUGUGAGUAUCAUUUAUAUUUCUAACUAUUAUGCAACUGUCAUUAAAGCCCUGCAUUUCCACAGGUCUCUGUGGAGGAACUGCCUUGUUUGAUCUUUGCAAUGCUGGC